This 253-nucleotide ribosomal RNA is filed under the name uncultured bacterium. RNAcentral describes it as "partial 16S ribosomal RNA". It matches the Rfam family "Bacterial small subunit ribosomal RNA", at positions 524 to 776 of the family's 1533-position model. The record is from RNAcentral.
UACGUAGGAGUCGAGCGUUGUGCGGAUUUAUUGGGCGUAAAGCGCCCGCAGGCGGCCAGGCAAGUCCAGGGUGAAAUCUCGCGGCUCAACCGGGAGGGUGCCCUGGAAACUGCUUGGCUUGAGGCAGGGAGAGGGAUGUGGAAUUCCCGGUGUAGUGGUGAAAUGCGUAGAUAUCGGGAGGAACACCAGUGGCGAAGGCGGCAUCCUGGCCCUGUCCUGACGAUCAGGGGCGAAAGCGUGGGGAGCAUACCGG